This 3775-nucleotide long non-coding RNA is filed under the name Gadus morhua (Atlantic cod). RNAcentral describes it as "lncRNA (ENSGMOG00000034556.1)". The record is from RNAcentral. Lineage: Eukaryota; Metazoa; Chordata; Actinopteri; Gadiformes; Gadidae.
AUGCAGUGUAACUUUUCAAAUAAUGGUCAUCAACAAUUUUUAAUUGCAUACAAUGAUCAGGACAUAUUGAGCAGUCAUCAUAGGGACGGUAACUGCCACAUGACAUGUACAAGGUGCAAGAAGGGGCCACAGCCAGGAGGGAACAGGGUGGAAUUAGCCCCAAACCGGUUGGGCUUUGGAGUUAAAUUAAUGUCUUUAAACUUUUUUGUGAGGAAUAGUACAACAGAAGGCCCGGAAACACACCACCAAUACACAAAGAGAGAAAAACAUCAGUGGUAACAUCUAGAAAUAUUUAGCUUCACCAAUAUCUGAUGAUAUUGCAACAGUAAAGUAUGACUUCAACAGUAAUCAUGAGUUCUUUUUUCUGGUUCGACAGGACUCGUUUUGUGCUAAUGUUCUGCACAUUGGAAAAUACAGACAGGAACGAAAAAUAAGUUAUGACAUUCAAUUUGGCCGUACAGCGCAACAACAACAACAACAACAACCACAACAACAACAACAACAACAACAACAACAACAUUAACUUUGCUUGGAGUGAAAAGUGAAGAGAACUAAAAACUAAUAACACAAACGUAUUGAGGCGCUUGUGUUUUUCUUUUUCCCUACUUUCCGAGUGGCCGUGGCUGACGCAGGAUGACGCUGUGCUUGCGUCUAUUGACUGGGUCUGUGGCCACGGUGCCAAGUAGAGCCCGGGAUACAGUACAGGGAGAGAGAUAGAGAGAGAGAGAGCGCCUCACAGGAACAAAGUUCACAGCAUUUCCCCCUGUCAUCUGAGGGUACCAGGCAAUGCCACAUGCAACAUAUAUCUCUAUAAAAACACCCUGAAGAUAUUUAGAUAUAUACAUAUCAAAGGUCACUAAAGGGGGUUGAGACUGUCUGGUGGCUCCCUGCACACCCCCCCCCCCCCCCACCCCCCCCACCCCAGGUUCACAGAAUUUAGCAUGCUGCGUGCCUUAUCACAACAUGUGAUAAAUGUGUGCGUGCGUGUGUGUGCGUGCAUAUAUGUGCAUGCAUAUGUGUGUGUGUGUGUGUGCGUGUGUGCCUUCUGUCUGUGGCAAGAUCACAGAUUGCAAUGCAUGGAGGGCAACAGAUUGUUGUCAUCCGAGUCUUCCACUGAGGUGAGGAGAUCAUCACGAGUUGGCUGGCGCUGACUGGGCUAAGGGCUCGGCUGGCUCGAGGCAGUUCAUGAGGACUUCAGAUGACACAGGGGAAAAGAGCGAGAGAGCAUAGACAGAAACAAGAGAGAGCGCAAGAGAGAGAGAGAUAAAGAUAGAGAGAGAAAAAGAACAAGAGAGAGAGAGAGAGAGAGAGAGAGAGAGAGAGAGAGAGAGAGAGAGAGAGAGAGAGAGAUAGUGAACGAGAGAGAGAGAGUGAGAUAAAGAGAGAGAGAGAAAAAUAACAAGAGAGAGAGAGAGAGAGAGAGAGAGAGAGAGAGAGAGAGAGAGAGGGAGAGAUAGUGAACGAGAGAGAGCGAUCGGGGGGGGGGGGGGGGGGGAAGAGAGAGAAUGUGAAGGGAAGGGGUUUCAGUUUUUUUCAGCAGAGGAAGGGAAACUGACAGACACAGCUGGAAAAGCACGGGAGCGGUCUCGCAGUUCCCUCCGAGACCCAGUGCAAGGUACACUUCCCAAAGUUCUGGAUAUCCGUUUACAUUUGGGGGGCGGGAGUGGGAGUGGGAGUGGUGGUGGUGGUGGUGGUGGUGGUGGUGUUGCGGAAGGGGGGAUGGGGAACGGGACGGGACGGGACGGGACGGGGGGGGGGGUAGGGGGCGAAUGGGGGGGAGGGGACUCUGGGAAACAUCAGUGAGCGAGCAGUUGGGAGCACUUCGGGGAAAAGACACUGCCAAGCCGUCCUUGCAUCUCAACGGGGGCCUGCUGGGCAGACCAGUCGCCACCUCCACCCCUCUGGAACCCGCAGAUCUACCCGCUAUCAGCCUCUGCUAUUUCUAAGCGCUGUUUAUUAUUGUUGUGUGUGCGGGAGAUUGUACCAUGACUAAGGAAAUGGCUUCUGGUUUCUGUAAACAGAGUGGAAGGUAAACAGCACAGCAACCAGAUCCUCCAAUCAACAAACGCUUACGUGACACAGCCGGGCUUAGGCUUAGGGGGGCAAAAGGUUGCCUUUUUUAUGUAUCUCCCAGUAGAUAACCCAAGAAAAAGUAGCAGUGGUAGUAAAAUGAAAAUGUGAAGUUGGUAAGCACUUAAAGUACUAAAUUAUACUCAUGGGUUUCUCCAAGGCACAACAAUAUCUGUGUAAAAUAAAUUACUAUUAAAUACCCCUCCCCCUAACAACUGGGUCCGUUUAAGUGCAGAUGUGAUAGAUGGGACUAUACGAUUCGAAAGUGGAGCAUUGCUGUAUCUAUAAAAAGCCACACACUUUAAGUGGCAAAGAGAAACGACCCAACACACCGCAGUCACACGCAGUUCCUACUGGGACAGGAGUUUAAUCUAUUAGAUUCAUGAUGAUCAUUAUGAUUAUUUUAUUAAAACUCCUGUUAAAAAGUGGUGCGGAUGGCAUACUUGUUGCUCAUGCUCAGUGUGUGUGUGUGCGCGUGUGUGUGUGUGUUUAGCAUGCAGACACUGAUAAGGCUUUGGAGAAUGCCCCAAUCUUCAGUGCUAUCUGUUGGUCUCAGAAACCUCCCUUCUGCAACAUGCUGUUAAACAUUAGCAUACGCAGCCAGCACUCAUUGCAGGCAUUUCUGAGGCCUUUUCCAUUUGUGAAUGUGAGUGUGUGUGUGUCUGUGGGCAUGCAUGCUUGUAAUAAGUGUGUGUGUGGGGGGGGGGGGGGCUUUUGAAAAAGAGCAAUGUCUGGCUCUCGGCCAGACAUUGCUCUUCAUGUAUGAGGAAAUUGUUGAAUUGAAAUAAGUUGUGGAAUGUAUAUCUACAAGUAAAAGAAAAAAACAGAAACGUCAGUGAGACCUUGCACGGAAUUACUCCACAAUGUGGUGCUAAUGCUAAAUGGCUAACUCAAUGUCCUCCUCAUGAUACCAGGCCCAACUGUGAGGAGCAUUCAACAAUGCUGAUAUUUUAAAUAAUGCAUUAUUAUCGAUUGAUUCAUGAUAGUAUUUGUUGCUCUUAGAAAGGAAAAGGUUCACACGUUAAAGGUACAGUGUAUAGGAAUUAGGGACUUCUAGCAGUGAGGUUGCAGAUUGCCACGCAGGAAAUAUUGCUCCCAAUGUAGAUAAAAAGGGCUACUUUUAAGGUAAUGAAUACACAAUUCUUAAUUUUAUUGGAUUCUACACUUAUUAAAUCUUACUUUUGAACAUUAUAUUCCAUUGUUGCCAAAAUCCUUUCUGCUAGAUGCCACUAAAUCCUACAAACUGCACCUCUAACAUGUGUUUGGCCACGAACACCAAGGGAGAUAAAAGGAAUGUCUACAGAUCCCAAUUGAGCCAGCUUUUUCAGGAUUUAUAGAAUGCAUAAAACAACUUAAUGUCAAUAAACUGCCAAGGCACUGUGCUACUCUAACACUAUGCUAGAGACCAUGUAAAGUAUGGUUGUGCAACAAAAGAAUGCAAGAGAAAAGAAAGGAAAAGUGAGGUAGAUGGAAAAUCAACAUUGUUUUUCAAAAAACCCUGUCCCAGCUAUCUCAAUUGUAUUCGUUGGUGUCCUAAACCAAUGACACUCCACCCAUACGUCUGGAAAUAUCUCAAGCAACCAUUUCCUUGGACCAGUCUCCAGGGGAUAACACUGUCAACCAAGGUGACCGGUCUUACCUUCAUCAGACAAUUCAAAAGAAAAAAUAAUAAAAUAUGGCUAAAGUGUAAACUUCCGUGUGAGGU